GCAGCCAGGUUGGCCGUGAUGGAUACUGGCGAAUCGACCACCGCCGCCUGAUGGUGCGCUCAAUGUUGUUCUACUCCCACUGUAGGCGAGGCGGCGCCUGUGGCAUCAGGACCAUCCGGAUCUGGAUCAAUUCGUCGAGAUACAGGCCACUUCCACUGAUCUAUUAAGAGCAUAUGAUUGCUUCAGAAAGGCAAGUUCUAUGGUUGAUGAGGAGAUUCAGUAUCUUCGUCUGCCCAUGGGUUGCAACACGAGUUUGAAAUUGUGAGGAAGAGAAUGGAUGCUGAAGCAAAGAAAGCAUAUAAGUUACUUGACCAACUUCCAUAUCUCCACAAGACAUGUCUAUACUCAGUUAUGGAUACCAGCUCCACCUCUGAAAAAAAGGAAGGUCAAAGCAUUGGUUACUACACCAAACACCAGACUUCAAUACAAUUCAAAGAGCUGCAGCACCGUUGCUAAUAGAGUUUGUGCUGACAUAUUGGUAAAGAAAGCAUAUGAAGAGUGGAUGCAUGAUGUAGGAUAUGAUGGUAAGACACUCCAGAGCUUCAAGCAUAAUCUGUCGCAAGUGAUAGAGCAGCAGCUUCAACAAUUAACCAUGCUUCAAAUGGUUCAAUCAAUGCACACAAACAAUUAUUUGCGGAACAUCUAGCCAAACUUCCGCACUUACUACAAGGUAAUAAGAUCUAAACUAAGAAUCCUGAUGCAUCUUGUGAAUAUUUCAUGUUUGCACUAUUGUUUCUAUAAGGUUAUUAGUCUAAUUUGAAGUGAGUUUCAUAUCUUCAAGUUUUC
Long non-coding RNA from Lolium rigidum, 786 nucleotides. RefSeq lists it as uncharacterized. Lineage: Eukaryota; Viridiplantae; Streptophyta; Magnoliopsida; Poales; Poaceae. The transcript has 3 exons. The record is from RefSeq and is a predicted model, not a curated record.